UCGAAACCUGCCCAGCAGAAAGACCCGCGAACAUGUUUUCCCAUGAACACGCGGGGAGGGGCGCCUCUGCCCCCUCCCUGGCGCAACAACAAACCCCGGCGCGAACCGCGCCAAGGAACACGAACUAAAGGCGUGCCCGCCCGCGCCCGGUCCGCCGGCGCGCGGGGGCGGCACCUGUCCCUACUUAAAACGU
Molecule: unclassified non-coding RNA, 193 nt
Filed under: Opuntia megacantha
Lineage: Eukaryota; Viridiplantae; Streptophyta; Magnoliopsida; Caryophyllales; Cactaceae
Description: internal trasncribed spacer 1
Source: RNAcentral